UUCGCCAAUUAUUCGGAUACGUGAUUUAUACGGAUAUUAUACGUUCACCAAUUAAAAAUUCGGGAUAAAAAAUUCGGCUAUUAAAUUAAAUUUUUUUCCUCUCAAAAUUUAUGCUAUUAGCAUAAAUACUCAUAUUUUUUAAAAAAUAUAAGAAUAAAAAGCUAUAAAAUUAAACUAAUUAAGUAAAAAAAAAAAGUAAACUAUAUUAUUCCUCAAAAUAAAUAAAUAAUUAAGCAAAUAAUUGAUCAAGAUAGUCCAUAUUUAAAUGUAAAAGCUUCCAACUUUUGCUUUGAAGAAUGAAAACUCAAUUAGUACCUGGUCCCAAAGUUAUGUUUUAAAAAUUAAGUAGAAAUCCCAGUGAGUCAAUGGUCCAUGAAAGACCACAACAAAAUUUCCUUUUGCAAGUGUCGACAAAGAUCAUGAAAUUGAUUAGGUAUAAUACAAGAGUUCUGUUACGACCAUUGCAUCAGAUAGAAGAGUAGGGUAAGUAGGCGGAGUAGAAGGGUGAGACGCGAGAGGAUCGAAGGUGAAGAAGAACAGUGGCGCGGCGGCGAAAUCUAUAGAAGAAGGGUUAUCGGGCAAUGGGUUCGUGUUACCUCACUGUAGCAUCACCGCGCCCGACUCCGAACUCUGGAUCAGCUAAUGGGUGACGGGCCAUCUCUGGAACAGUGUGGAGCCAUAGCGGGUAAUGGUUCCGCUUAACUCUUACUCUGUGACACCGACCCGAAUCCGGAAGGUUUAGAGAGAGACGGUUGAGCUGAAGCCAGUGAAGGAGCCCAGCCCAAGCCAGGAUUAGGCCCACUAUAGUCCACUGAGUGUAAUUACAAUUACAGUUUAACCCUCGCCAUUGUAAUUCUUACAUUUUGAUCCUCACGCUGAGGAGUAUAAGUAGCAACUCACGCCUGUAACAAACUAUGAGAAAUUUGAAUAAAAAUUCCCCAAUUCUCCCCAAUCCUCUCCUCUUCCCCACUCUUCUCCAUUCUUCUUCUUCUUCUUCCCCAUCUCACUCCUCAUCUCAGAUCUAUUCUUGCUCCUCUAGCUCUUCCACUGAUACCAACGGGUCUGGAUUCAGUCAAAUUUUGAAUCCCAUCAUCUCUUCUUCUUCGAUCCUCUGUGCGCAACUUCAUCGGAUCAAAGAAUCAGAUCAGGUAAGCGAUACAUCAUUCCAUUUCGCCUUCCUACGAUUAGUAUCGGGUUGCGAAAGGGUCAGGAUCGUAACAAGUUCCUGGUCCCAAAGUUAAUUAAGAUUAUUUAUUUAGCACUAUGUUUGGGUCUUCUUUGUGCAUAACAGAGAAUGGACACAUUCAAUUAAGCACUCAGCCACUUGUGUAUAAAACAAUCCAUCAGAUGACUAAAAGCUUCCAACUUUUUCUUUGAAGAAUGAAAAAAACUCAAAACGUACCUACUUGGGUUUGUAAAGAACCACCCGGUUACUGAUCUAUCGUUGGAUAGCGGAAGCGGGAGAGGAAGCGGAAGCGGAAGAGGAAGAGGCGACGAGGAGGGUUUCGAUUCCUGAAGAGUGAAGAACCCGAUCUUCGAUCUUCGAUUCCUGAAGAGGAGGGCUUCCGAUGGCGUUCGGCGAGCGGCCGGAAGGGAAGAGGGAGACCGCCGCAGGGGUCAAUGGCAGGGCCGCACCGCCGCAGGAGUGAGAAGUUAGGGCAAACCUUUUUUUGGGAGGGGUGGGGGUGGGAGCGUGGGAGUCGUCGCCUCGUGGGAGGGGGGCGAUGGUUUUCAGAAAUCCUUUCUUUUCUUUUUUCUUUUAUUUCU
Molecule: long non-coding RNA, 1767 nt
Filed under: Ananas comosus (pineapple)
Lineage: Eukaryota; Viridiplantae; Streptophyta; Magnoliopsida; Poales; Bromeliaceae
Description: long non-coding RNA (ACOM_LNC017927)
Source: RNAcentral